RNAcentral lists this ribosomal RNA (492 nucleotides) under uncultured bacterium. RNAcentral's name for it is "partial 16S ribosomal RNA". It matches the Rfam family "Bacterial small subunit ribosomal RNA", at positions 29 to 507 of the family's 1533-position model. The record is from RNAcentral.
AGUGAACGCUGGCGGUAGGCCUAACACAUGCAAGUCGAACGGCAGCACAGUAAGAGCUUGCUCUUACGGGUGGCGAGUGGCGGACGGGUGAGGAAUACAUCGGAAUCUACUUUUUCGUGGGGGAUAACGUAGGGAAACUUACGCUAAUACCGCAUACGAUCUACGGGUGAAAGCAGGGGAUCUUCGGACCUUGCGCGAUUGAAUGAGCCGAUGUCGGAUUAGCUAAUUGGCGGGGUAAAGGCCCACCAAGGCGACGAUCCGUAGCUGGUCUGAGAGGAUGAUCAGCCACACUGGAACUGAGACACGGUCCAGACUCCUACGGGAGGCAGCAGUGGGGAAUAUUGGACAAUGGGCGCAAGCCUGAUCCAGCCAUACCGCGUGGGUGAAGAAGGCCUUCGGGUUGUAAAGCCCUUUUGUUGGGAAAGAAAAGCAGCAGGUUAAUACCCCGCUGUUCUGACGGUACCCAAAGAAUAAGCACCGGCUAACUUCGUG